AGCUUGCCUCUUAUUUGUUUUUGUAUUACUGUAUUUACUUCUGAGUUACACAUGUCCACGAAAGAGGGAUCAAAACAAUGAACAGAUCUUCUACCCAGCCAAGCAAAGACAACACCUUCUGCUCACACGAGUCCUGGAUGAAGGCGCUGCUAGGCCACCCCGAGGUAAACAUGAAGAGCCAGAAUCACUUAAAUCUUACCUGGGAGUUUUACAUCUUCUGAUAACAUUGCUUUUCGCUGGUGAUAUUGAAGUAAAUCCAGCACUUUUAUUGCAAGGAAGGCAUCACGGCCAUGUGGGCUGCAUCCAUCGGUGCCUGUGCUACAGGUUAGUCUCCAUAUUCAACUAGAUGGUCAACCGCCACCAUCUGCUGGGCCAUGGCCACAGCCUGCUAGGCCUCAACCACUGCUAGCUGGGCUAGCAUCCACUUCUACUAGGCCUGCUUUACCAGCUAGCUGGGCUAGCAUCCACUUCUACUAGGCCUGCAUUACCAGCUAGUUGGGACACAUCCACUGCUACCUGGGCUUCACCUGCAAACGUUUGAUGAUGAUGUGCAUCCAAAGUGAGGCCCUCUGUCCUGUUUCAUGUCUGUCACGCUGUUACACGCAAGAAUGAAGGCAUCCAAUCAUGCGCCCCUGUGAACCGCCUUGUUUCAAGUCAUGUUACAUGCUCUCACCCACCUCCUCCCCUCGCACGCCGCACUCUCUCCCCUACCUUAUGUGCUCCAUCCUGUCCUCCAAGGCCUCUGCAUUUAGAGAAGUAAGCCUGCUGGUGGGGGUUAUUGCCUCUAAUUCUAGCCCACAGUGGGGUGCCCAUUAGGGGGCUUGAUUCUUGGUUUUGAUGUCAAAACCUAGAGGUUGUUUCCUAGAGCCAAGCUCACUUCAAACAAGACACACAGGUUUUGUGUAGGACAAGUCAGCGUGUGGCACCUGAGAAAAACACCUGACAAGAGGCUGAAGUUGAGUAAUAACCAUUUCACAGUGCUGCGGUUACUAUUCAUAGAAAACACACAAGGGCAGUCCUAGAAAUGUCUGUUGGGGUUGAAAUAAUUAGCAAGGUACAAGAGUAAACUCUGAUACUUUCUCACUCAACCUACUACGAGAUUUAUUGCAUCUCUCUAAUCACUCUUUCAUAUACAUGUACAGCAUGGGAAUACUGAUGGUUCCCUGAGUGCGGAUAUGGAAGUAAAUGCUUCACUGACUGCAUUGCUACGCUGCAGCCAUGAAGCAUACUAUAUAUUCAUUCAUUCAUUCAUUCAUUUUCUGCCGCUUAUCCUCAUGAGGGCGUCUUCGGGCGAGAGACGGGGUACACCCUGGAAUGGUCGCCAGCCAAUCACAGGGCAUACUAUAUAUUCUGGACUGGAUUCUGGAUCGAGCACACCCAAAUAUAAGUCACACUCACCAACUUUAAAGGGAAAAAUAGAAUCCAUUGUCCACAAGCCACAGGCUUCCAUGUUGUGAACAUAAGACUUUCA
Non-coding RNA from Doryrhamphus excisus (bluestripe pipefish), 1471 nucleotides. The record is from RefSeq and is a predicted model, not a curated record. Lineage: Eukaryota; Metazoa; Chordata; Actinopteri; Syngnathiformes; Syngnathidae.